RNAcentral lists this long non-coding RNA (1132 nucleotides) under Zea mays. RNAcentral's name for it is "long non-coding RNA (ZMAY_LNC004276)". The record is from RNAcentral. Lineage: Eukaryota; Viridiplantae; Streptophyta; Magnoliopsida; Poales; Poaceae.
CUGGCACUUGAGAUUCUAGGUACCAGGAUGAUUCUUCAGAUCCUCGUGACCUUGCGCUAGUGGUAGCAAUACAAACCAACGUAGUAUAAAGGAUAAAUUAACAUCACACCAAACAUGUAAAAAAAUACAUAAUAAUGAUCUACACAUUAAAAUAAGAUCCUAGGAACAGGAAUCAUUAAUUUUGGAGUUAUAGAUUUUAAGUUAUGAAUUUCCAAGGUUUUAUGUAUUUGAUACAAGAUUAAUUAAGAAAUAAAUUUUAUUACUGUUUUCAUGUCAAAACAGAGACACUAGGUGAUAAACAAUAAUAUUAAAAAAUUAUAGGAACUGAAAUGGGUUAAUUUGGACUUCAUAUGAAUUUCCUAUGAAUUAAACAAAUUCUAGCCAUUAUUUUCAUAUUAAAAAUCAUUUUCUAAACCCAUUUAUCUGAUUUUCUAAUUCUCUAGACUGAGCACGCAAAACCAGAGAACAGCAGGGGUUAACUCGCAAGAUUUCCUAGACUCCGUGAAUAGGAUCUGUGGACUACGGGUUGAUUCAGUGAUAACCCAGGGUCUCUUUAGUAAAUGUUCUCGGCCGAAGGGGUAUUGAAGAUAUCUGACCGCCAGAUUAGAGUCCAACGACCAAGAUUAAACCCACCCGCUACACGCACCACUACGCAACCAGAUCCGUGGGAUUAAUGAUGAACGACAGAUACACACGUGUUAUCCCUAGCCGUGCGAUGGGUGAUCAACGGCCAGCUCCUUAAUGCUACGAAGGGGGGUACCUACAGUGUCUAAUCCGGACCGUCCAAACGAGGAUCCAUGGUUCCUCAAUCAGCGACAACCCACAGUGUGUCCGACAACGGCGCAGAAUCUCCCCACGACGGAGCGGCCGGCGGCGCCACCGAUUUCCGGCCCCCGGUACCCCGCAGCCCGAUCUAGUACUAGUUACGCGAUGUGGACAAUGCGGUGAACUGGGUCGUGGCAAACUUACCACCGGCACGGCGAGGUUGUGGUCAGCAGCGAGGACGGCGGUCGCGACCUCCGAUGACCAACUCCGACCAGGAAUUGGCGGAGUUCCGCCGGCGCACCAGGGUGUUUCCGGACGUAAUCCCUGUCGCAAGCGCUGGGCUAUCAUCCCAUUUCCACCAGAGGGC